UACGAGGGGGGCUAGCGUUGUUCGGAAUCACUGGGCGUAAAGCGCACGUAGGCGGAUUUGUCAGUCAGGGGUGAAAUCCCGGGGCUCAACCUCGGAACUGCCUUUGAUACAGCAAGUCUCGAGCCCGGAAGAGGUGGGUGGAAUUCCUAGUGUAGAGGUGAAAUUCGUAGAUAUUAGGAAGAACACCAGUGGCGAAGGCGGCCCACUGGUCCGGUGCUGACGCUGAGGUGCGAAAGCGUGGGGAGCAAACAGG
RNAcentral lists this ribosomal RNA (253 nucleotides) under uncultured bacterium. RNAcentral describes it as "partial 16S ribosomal RNA". It matches the Rfam family "Bacterial small subunit ribosomal RNA", at positions 524 to 776 of the family's 1533-position model. The record is from RNAcentral.